Molecule: ribosomal RNA, 301 nt
Filed under: uncultured bacterium
Lineage: Bacteria
Description: partial 16S ribosomal RNA
Rfam family: Bacterial small subunit ribosomal RNA
Source: RNAcentral
CAGUAGCCGCGGUAAUACGAAGGGGGCUAGCGUUGCUCGGAAUCACUGGGCGUAAAGGGUGCGUAGGCGGGUCUUUAAGUCAGGGGUGAAAUCCUGGAGCUCAACUCCAGAACUGCCUUUGAUACUGAAGAUCUUGAGUUCGGGAGAGGUGAGUGGAACUGCGAGUGUGGAGGUGAAAUUCGUAGAUAUUCGCAAGAACACCAGUGGCGAAGGCGGCUCACUGGCCCGAUACUGACGCUGAGGCACGAAAGCGUGGGGAGCAAACAGGAUUAGAUACCCCCGUAGUCCCUGUCUCUUAUAC